Long non-coding RNA from Oreochromis niloticus (Nile tilapia), 157 nucleotides. RefSeq lists it as uncharacterized. Lineage: Eukaryota; Metazoa; Chordata; Actinopteri; Cichliformes; Cichlidae. The record is from RefSeq and is a predicted model, not a curated record. The transcript is spliced from 3 exons.
GCUACAUUGCUGCCACCCUGUCACGUAACACACAGGGAGUCAAUGACACAACCUACAUCUGUGCAAAUAACAAUGGUGUAGUCAAAUUCUUCAGUGCUCUUCUGAACAACGGCAAGCUGACUCGCACACCGCUUAAAGUCAACAAUGUGAGGGGCAA